RNAcentral lists this ribosomal RNA (525 nucleotides) under Cladosporium cladosporioides. RNAcentral's name for it is "eukaryotic LSU rRNA". The stretch from base 173 to 326 matches the Rfam family "5.8S ribosomal RNA". The record is from RNAcentral. Lineage: Eukaryota; Fungi; Ascomycota; Dothideomycetes; Cladosporiales; Cladosporiaceae.
UGCGGAGGGAUCAUUACAAGUGACCCCGGUCUUACCACCGGGAUGUUCAAAACCCUUUGUUGUCCGACUCUGUUGCCUCCGGGGCGACCCUGCCUUCGGGCGGGGGCUCCGGGUGGACACUUCAAACUCUUGCGUAACUUUGCAGUCUGAGUAAACUUAAUUAAAAAAUUAAAACUUUUAACAACGGAUCUCUUGGUUCUGGCAUCGAUGAAGAACGCAGCGAAAUGCGAAAAGUAAUGUGAAUUGCAGAAUUCAGUGAAUCAUCGAAUCUUUGAACGCACAUUGCGCCCCCUGGUAUUCCGGGGGGCAUGCCUGUUCGAGCGUCAUUUCACCACUCAAGCCUCGCUUGGUAUUGGGCAACGCGGUCCGCCGCGUGCCUCAAAUCGACCGGCUGGGUCUUCUGUCCCCUAAGCGUUGUGGAAACUAUUCGCUAAAGGGUGUUCGGGAGGCUACGCCGUAAAACAACCCCAUUUCUAAGGUUGACCUCGGAUCAGGUAGGGAUACCCGCUGAACUUAAGCAUAUCA